AUAUGGAUUCUACUCAGCCUGGGUCCUACAAUACCUCAAAGAAUACUUUGACGCAAGAGAACCCAGAGGAGAUUCAGCAGCUGCAGAAUGUCAAAAGUUAUCAGCAGCGUACCUCAAGCAAGCAUUCCAGUCCAUACCCUAGUGCUCUGCGCUAUGCCUGCAGGCCAUCCCAAAACCACCCAAAAUGGCACACCUUGAGAAGUGGUUCCCACGAUCGCUGCUGAGUAAAGUGUAAAGUCUAUUUUGCACACCAACUGGAGACCUACAGUGCAGAGUAAAGCAGAAUCAGAAUCAAAAAGGCACUGGAAGAAUGGAGACAUUGGCUGGAAGGGGCCCACCAACCAUUUCAAGUUAUCACUAACCACGAAUACAUCAAAAAUGCCAAGCAAUUAAUUUACCGUGAAGCCCAGUGUGCAUUGUUUUUUACCAGAUUCAACUCCACUGUAACUACUGUUACAACUCCACAUGCACUAUGAACUGCAAGGCAGAUGCUAACUUAUGCUGUCAUUAUCCUAUAUACAAAACACUAAUACCUGAACACAAUUUGCCACCCUUUGUUAUUAUCGCACCAGUCCAUUGGGACAUUAUGUAUGGAGGAGAUACAAUUAGCACAAACAAACAAGCUCACUCUACCGAACUGCCCCCACAACAAGCGGUAUGUCCUUGCAAAGCUACGACAAAGAAUCAUGGAACGUAUACACACCUCGUUUAGCAAGGAACAACCAGGGAUCCACCAUACCACAACCUUGUCCAGAGCGCAUUUAGGUGGCCAUCACUUCUAGCAGUAAUACUACUUUGUGCCCAAGUACCUACCCCAUGCCAGCUGCCUUAUGGCCUGCUGGAGCCACUCCUGAAACCACGGAGGCCUUGGUCCCACAUUGUGGUGGACUAUUAAUGAAUUUUCCAAAUCAUAGGGACACACCAAUUAUAUAUUGUUUGCCAUGGACCAGUUCUACAUGGCCUGUUCAUGUGUGCCCCUUAAGGGCCUACUCACAUCCAUGGAGAGAGUGGAACUGCUACUGAACCAUGUUUAUCGUAAUUACGGACUAACUGAUGGCAUGGGUCUGGAAAUCCUUCUGUGACAUUUUGUGAUAGGAUUUUGACUCAGCCUCACUUUGGGAUGCUGUCCACAAGCGAUCAGCCAAGCCGUGCAAGUUAAUCAAGAGCAGGGGCAUCUCCAGAGAACCUAUGGUAGCAAGAAAUAACACCACAAUUUCUCACAUGGGAGGAGUAUGAUUCAAAUUCCCAAACCCACACUUCCACCAAUCUCACCUAGUUCCAAUGUGUUCUGGGUUAUCAACUCUCUAUUCCCAUGGUCAACGGAGCUAUAAGCAGUAAACAACUGGUACUGUCAGAGUAGGGACUUGUGGGAGAGGGCUUAUGUACCUUUCCAGAGGGCUGUUUAAUGCCAAAAACUCAAUGCAAAUUGUCAAAGUAACCCUCACGCUUUCUAUCAACCAGGCCAGGUAAUAUGGCUAUCCACACAAAAUAUCAAGCAAGAGCUACCAUGUGGGGCUCUAAUGAAUCAUCGAUUGGAAGGGAUACGGUCCAAAGGGUCAUUGCUGGGUGAAUACAGACAAUAUUCCGGACCCUCUCUUACCGAAAAGUUCCAUAGAAGCUACCCGACCAGCCAGCAGCGCAGCCCUGGAGAUGCCCCCGUAAAGAACACCUGAAGGUGUAUCUAGGAGGGGGGCUUCUCUAACGGUUCCCACUGCAAUCGCCACUCUGCCCCACCAGAGGGAAUCAUUACCCGAUUUCUGAACAAAUCUGGGUCAAGGGUCACUUCCUGUUUUUCCAUGUUCUAUGACCUCUUGUGUACCGACCUAGCUUUUGUUUUUGCUCUUUGCUCUUGUUCAUUGCAUUUUGGAUUGUGGGCCUCAUGAAUUGCCUUGAAUCGUGUACGGAACUUACAUGACUGUUUCCUAUGACUGUGUGUUUGGAUUACAUGUUUGGAUUUGGAUCUUCUGACUGCAAUAAAACCGUAUAUGGAUUCUAAUCACCUGGGUCCAACAGUAUCUCACAAUCAAACGCACAGCAGGCUAAAACAACAGCCGCUUGUCGAUUCCGCCUCGGAUCAAUCGGACACUCUCAUUAGAGACAACAUGCGCCCACUCAUACAGCAGGGAGGCUGGCCUUCAGAUAUACAAGCUUCAAGACACUGUUUGGUGCACCACAGCACAACUGUUUUUCCUGAGUGUAUAAUGGCUUUUGGAUUAAACCUGCAUGUUUGUGAGUUCUCCACUGAGUUUUGAAGAUCUUUCCGGAGAACAGGAAAGCCGCUCCACAGCCGAGAUGAGACUCAAUGUCCUCAGACAGCAAAUAAAAACUCCGGGCACGAAUCCAGCAGAUCUUUUUAUUGUGUACUCAGCAUAACAAACAUAAUGAAACAGAGGGGGGGAAAAAUUAUGACAUCGGAUCCUCCAAGCGUGACUGGGCACGAUCAACUUUUUAAACAGACGCAGCCAUGUUUUCUCAUUUCCCCCAUAAUUUAAUGCAUUACAGACAGAAUAUGAUGGAGUGAGAUGCGGUGUGCCGAGAUUAAACGUUUUAUUUUUUUAUUUAUUUUUUUUUGUAGAAAAAGAAAUUUGUUUUACCAGAAAACAUAGUCGCGUUUCAAGAACGAUGUCUUAAUUAAAACGCUUUGUGGUGAGCGAAUGCAGACGAUGGAGGCGGAUUGGAUAAAAAAAAAUAAAAAAUUAGACAGGG
Silurus meridionalis is the source of this 2706-nucleotide long non-coding RNA. RefSeq lists it as uncharacterized. The transcript is spliced from 3 exons. The record is from RefSeq and is a predicted model, not a curated record. NCBI's taxonomy places the organism in Eukaryota, Metazoa, Chordata, Actinopteri, Siluriformes, Siluridae.